CCUACGGGAGACAGCAGUGGGGAAUAUUGGGCAAUGGGCGCAAGCCUGACCCAGCAACGCCGCGUGAAGGAAGAAGGCUUUCGGGUUGUAAACUUCUUUUCUCAGGGACGAAGAAAGUGACGGUACCUGAGGAAUAAGCCACGGCUAACUACGUGCCAGCAGCCGCGGUAAUACGUAGGUGGCAAGCGUUAUCCGGAUUUACUGGGUGUAAAGGGCGUGUAGGCGGGACUGCAAGUCAGAUGUGAAAACCACGGGCUCAACCUGUGGCCUGCAUUUGAAACUGUUUCCCUUGAGUGUCGGAGAGGUAAUCGGAAUUCCUUGUGUAGCGGUGAAAUGCGUAGAUAUAAGGAAGAACACCAGUGGCGAAGGCGGAUUACUGAACGAUAACUGACGGUGAGGCGCGAAAGCGUGGGGAGCAAACAGGAUUAGAUACCCGAGUAGUC
This 443-nucleotide ribosomal RNA is filed under the name uncultured bacterium. RNAcentral's name for it is "partial 16S ribosomal RNA". It matches the Rfam family "Bacterial small subunit ribosomal RNA", at positions 338 to 795 of the family's 1533-position model. The record is from RNAcentral.